RNAcentral lists this unclassified non-coding RNA (200 nucleotides) under Spizellomyces sp. Its description in RNAcentral is "partial internal transcribed spacer 2". Lineage: Eukaryota; Fungi; Chytridiomycota; Chytridiomycetes; Spizellomycetales; Spizellomycetaceae. The record is from RNAcentral.
UUAAGUUCAGCGGGUUUUCUUGCCCGAUUUCAGACCAAGUUAUCAAAGAUUUCACCCAAGGGCGAAACAUUUGUUAAGAAAUGGGGUAUAUGCUUCCGUCCAACCCCAAGAGCUGUCAAAGCGAAAUAGAAAAAUCUGUUGCACUUUGGUAACCCAAGGAAUAUUCGAUGGAUGCACACACUAUCAUUUUGAGACGAUUG